Molecule: transfer RNA, 70 nt
Filed under: Figites sp. ZJUH 20220010
Lineage: Eukaryota; Metazoa; Arthropoda; Insecta; Hymenoptera; Figitidae
Description: tRNA-Val
Source: RNAcentral
UAAUUUUUAGUUUAAUUAAAAUUUUUUAUUUACAAUAAAAAGAUAGGGUUUAUUAAAAUACUAAAAUUUU